RNAcentral lists this ribosomal RNA (254 nucleotides) under uncultured bacterium. RNAcentral describes it as "partial 16S ribosomal RNA". It matches the Rfam family "Bacterial small subunit ribosomal RNA", at positions 524 to 776 of the family's 1533-position model. The record is from RNAcentral.
GACGUAGGGCGCGAGCGUUGUCCGGAUUUAUUGGGCGUAAAGAGCUCGUAGGCGGCUUGUCGCGUCGACUGUGAAAACUCGGGGCUCAACUCCGAGCUUGCAGUCGAUACGGGCAUGACUGGAGUUCGGCAGGGGAGACUGGAAUUCCUGGUGUAGCGGUGAAAUGCGCAGAUAUCAGGAAGAACACCUAUGGCGAAGGCAGCUCUCUGGGACGGUACUGACGCUGAGACGCGAAAGCGUGGGGAGCGAACAGG